Long non-coding RNA from Cygnus olor (mute swan), 1865 nucleotides. RefSeq lists it as uncharacterized. The transcript has 2 exons. The record is from RefSeq and is a predicted model, not a curated record. NCBI's taxonomy places the organism in Eukaryota, Metazoa, Chordata, Aves, Anseriformes, Anatidae.
AUAGUUCACUACAAUAAUCACAGAAUGGGUUGGUUUGGAAGGGACCUUAAAGAUCACCCAGUUGCAAACCCCUGCCAUGGGCAGGGACACCUCCCACUAGACCAGGUUGCCCAGGACCCCAUCCAACAUGACCUUGAACACCUCCAGAGAGUGUUAAUACGUUAGAGUCCGCAUUUGAUAACCUGCAGUAAAAAAUACUUCUCUAGCAAGCGGUAUAUAAAGAAGUAGGAGUAGCGUUCUUUGAUUUAUGUGGGUUAUAUAGCACAUCUUUAGUAGUGUCUCUGAGUGUCUCGCAGCAAGCGUAAAAAAGUGUCCUACUUUUCGGCUACUAAACCCUGGAAACCCUUGCACACACACAUAGGUUUGUUUGACUUCGCUGUGAUUAUUUGCAUUUGUCAAGCUAAAUGUUUUCCUAAAUAUUUGCAGUGUCAACUCUGUAGCUGCUGAAAUGUCUCUCGGCUUGUGUGGGUAGAGGUGAGGCAGCAGGGGCCACAGCUGGUUAGCAGAGCGAGGAUUUGAGGGAAAAGAAGUAUUCUGGACCUAGGACCAGCAGAUGGAAACGGGACCUCUAGCUGUCCAAUAGGUGGGAAACCAGCCUGGGAUGAAGGAAGGACUGGGAACUGUUCUCGGGUCUGCUAAGAGCUUAUGUGGUUGACCCUUACAAAUUGUUUUGCCCUGAGCCGUGGGCUAUGGUCCCGUGUUCCUCUACACCACUUUUGUGCCGUACCGAAUCACCUGGUAGCACGUUCAGAUAAGCCAGAUCACACGACAUCACGCUCCUGCUGGCUGCGUGCCACCUGCAGAAGGACAGACGCUACCUGCUGGAGCAUCACCCGGUGCAAAAUUAGAAUUGGCAGAGUGGGUUGCACUUCAUCAGUGCGUCAUGCGGCUGUGGUGUUUUUGAUCUUGUGCUAGACAUACUGAAACUGAAUUUACUAUCUGGUUCAACCACGAUCUCUGUUUCCACAUCUGUGAAAUGUGAACAGUAUCCCAUAUCUGUCUGUAAAGAGAUCUAUUUUUUUUCUGUCAGAAGAUUUCAAAGCAAUUUGAAUUCAGCUUCGUUAUGAUUUUAUUUGAAUGCUCGGGAUGGUAAUUGGCAGUCCGAACUGUUUCUGGAAUUCCAGAAGGUCACAGCAGAGAGCAACCGAAAGGCGCUGUGGUUUGGAUCCCUGCUUUUCUAGGCAAUGGCUGCAUUUCAGAGUCAACAUGAGUUAAUUCUGCCUGGCUUAGCUUAGCCUAGAGCAGAGAGAGAAAAAUAUGAAAUGUAGGCGUUGAGGUAGACAGCCAGUACAAAGUAAAAGGCCAUCUUCAUCUCAAAUCAUGGAUUUUUUUUUGUUGUUGUUGAUGAUGAAACUUAUUACUGGAAACACUGGAGCUGGAGCUUCACUAGACCAGUCGUGAAAAUAGCCUUUCCAAUUAACCAUCUCAUCUAGAAAGCUCCUGCUGACAGUCCAAGGAUUUAAAUGCUGGGGCCAGGGUUGGGGGGAGUGCUAAAGGCUGAAUGAUUCUCAGCAGCGGGGGUUUUCACUUGAAAUUAAUUUCUCCUGUUAAUUGAACACACCCAGUUUGAUCAGUGUCUUUGGGGAGAUCAUUCUGGAAUGCCUUCCGUAAAAUGUCUCUCUCCAAAUGUUCGGCAUUGUUUUAAUUAGUGUAAUUGUUUCCAGAGAUUAUAUGUGUAUGUUUAGUAUUUUCAUAUUCCUCCCCUGAAAGUUUAAAUGUUAGGCCACUCAUUUAAACACAUGCAUUCUUUCUUCUUGCGUGUUUUUGCUGACCUUAUCAAUAAAAGCAUUAAGCUCCCCAGAUUUUCCCUCUGCAUAAUUCCGAGCAGCUUUAUAAUAAAUCACAGAUAAAACGUUGCUUACAGC